AAACUAGGCCUUAAUACACAAUAUUUCAUCAUUGGCAUAAAUGUAGAUGUAGGAAAGGGGGGACUGUUACAUAGCUCUAGCACUGUGAUUACCAAUGGUCUAUUGUGCAUCCCCAACAGGAUCAUCUCAUAAGAAGUCCCAUCUUAAUCAUGAAAGACAGUAUCUUCUUCAAUGGCACUAUAAAAAAGAUCUUCUGGAGCAGGAAAAUGCAACCCAAGAAGACAAUACCUUAUCCCUGAAAGGGCCACACAUUCACACAAAAUAUGAAGAGGAGUUUCAUCCUCAUCUUGACAUCAUCUAUAAGUGGGGC
RNAcentral lists this long non-coding RNA (310 nucleotides) under Androctonus crassicauda. Lineage: Eukaryota; Metazoa; Arthropoda; Arachnida; Scorpiones; Buthidae. The record is from RNAcentral.